GAUGAACGCUGGCGGCGUGCUUAACACAUGCAAGUCGAACGAAGCAUUUGCGACAGAUUUCUUCGGAAUGAAGUUGCUUAUGACUGAGUGGCGGACGGGUGAGUAACGCGUGGGUAACCUGCCUUGUACUGGGGGAUAGCAGCUGGAAACGGCUGGUAAUACCGCAUAAGCUCACAAUGUUGCAUGACAUUGUGUGAAAAACUCCGGUGGUAUAAGAUGGACCCGCGUUUGAUUAGCUAGUUGGUGAUAUAACAGCCCACCAAGGCGACGAUCAGUAGCCGAGCUGAGAGGGUGACCGGCCACAUUGGGACUGGGACACAGCGCAGACUCCUACGGGAGGCAGGAGUGGGGAAUAUUGCACAAUGGAGGAAGCUCUGAUGGAGCGACGCCGGGAAAGUGAAGAUGUAAUUCGUGAUGUAAAGCUCUAUCAGCAGGGAAGAUAGUGACGGUACCUGACUAAGAAGCUCCGGCUAAAUACGUG
This 481-nucleotide ribosomal RNA is filed under the name uncultured bacterium. RNAcentral describes it as "partial 16S ribosomal RNA". It matches the Rfam family "Bacterial small subunit ribosomal RNA", at positions 28 to 507 of the family's 1533-position model. The record is from RNAcentral.